Molecule: long non-coding RNA, 991 nt
Organism: Cygnus olor (mute swan)
Lineage: Eukaryota; Metazoa; Chordata; Aves; Anseriformes; Anatidae
Exons: 2
Source: RefSeq, a predicted model, not a curated record
GUCCAAAUCCGAAGGGCUCGAUCCGUUCACGGCCUCAGAGGUUGGUGCACUGCACGCACCGCGGCACGGGACGGAUCGGCCAGGGCCCUCCAAGGUUCUGCUGCGGAGGCAUAGCACUUCCCCAGCUCGUGCUGUGCCGCUCGUUGCUCCUGCUUCAGACUUCUGCACCUGCUCUGCAUCUGCAUGCUGUACUCUCCACAAUGGUUCCCUAAUUACUCAAGGCUGCUUUGAAUGCCAUUAAUAUAACACUUCCCAUGCAAGCCAAGCCGUUAACAGACACAAUACAUAACACCACACAGGGGACUGUGAAGGCCACACACCUGCACUCCUCAGGGCAGGGUUUUUCCAAUUAAUCGCUGCUCUGAAGGCCUGGGUUUCAUCGCAUCCAUCUUUGCCCGACUUGCUUCUCAGACAGCAUCCUCUGAGAUGGGGUCAGAACCUCACGGCAGCAUCUCUGGCUACUCCACACGGGGCAUGUCACACCACCACAGGAACACGCCUGAUACAACAGGGCAUGCCACGUCAUCUCUUACGCAUCUUUCCAACUGCUUCCAGGGGACCACUGAUAUUUAAUUGUUUUGGUGUUUGUCCUGGAAAUGAAAUCACAGGGACAGGUGCUCUUCCUCCCAGCUUAGCUGGAAUUCACAGUCCUUCCCUCUAACAGCAAGCACAGUUCAGCGGAGAGAUGCUCAUUACAGGGGUAAUCUGGACCCCAAACACCAGAUCUGAGCCAACCCAAGUGUCCACCACGCUACAGCUUCAGCCAGCAGGGAGGAGGCAGAGACUGAACCCACAACACCAGACCCUCGAUGCCAUCACCAUGUCCACCUGCCCCUCAUCCAGCCGCCGGCCGGUGCCUCCGCACACAGCCUCGAGCCCGCUCCCGGGAGAAGCACAAAGGCUGCUGGAGACAUAUUUUCUGAGCUAAGAAAGCUGGAUGGCUGCGGUAUUUACAUCUGCAGUGCUCCUGCAGGCUUGCCAGGUAAUUCUG